GCAGUUCCGGCGAGGGGGGAGCCUCAG
RNAcentral lists this small RNA (27 nucleotides) under Pan troglodytes (chimpanzee). RNAcentral's name for it is "processed transcript". The record is from RNAcentral. Lineage: Eukaryota; Metazoa; Chordata; Mammalia; Primates; Hominidae.